This 75-nucleotide non-coding RNA is filed under the name uncultured Dysosmobacter sp. RNAcentral's name for it is "Cyclic di-GMP-I riboswitch". It matches the Rfam family "c-di-GMP-I riboswitch aptamer", at positions 9 to 86 of the family's 87-position model. Rfam says of the family: GEMM was predicted in a large-scale screen for bacterial structured RNA regulatory elements. Genes associated with GEMM are involved in a diverse array of functions, including chemotaxis regulation, signal transduction, secretion and chitin. Lineage: Bacteria; Bacillati; Bacillota; Clostridia; Eubacteriales; Oscillospiraceae. The record is from RNAcentral.
ACGGCAAACCGGAGGGAAACCCCGGGACGCAAAGCAAGGGGGCUAAGGUUUCGACUAUGCCAGCCCGGCUGCCAA